Molecule: ribosomal RNA, 460 nt
Filed under: uncultured bacterium
Lineage: Bacteria
Description: partial 16S ribosomal RNA
Rfam family: Bacterial small subunit ribosomal RNA
Source: RNAcentral
CCUACGGGUGGCAGCAGUGAGGAAUAUUGGUCAAUGGGCGCGAGCCUGAACCAGCCAAGUAGCGUGAAGGAUGACUGCCCUACGGGUUGUAAACCUCUUUUAUAAAGGAAUAAAGUGAGGCACGUGUGCCUUUUUGCAUGUACCUUAUGAAUAAGGACCGGCUAAUUCCGUGCCAGCAGCCGCGGUAAUACGGAGGAUCCGAGCGUUAUCCGGAUUUAUUGGGUUUAAAGGGAGCGUAGAUGGGUCGUUAAGUGAGUUGUGAAAGUUUGCGGCUCAACCGUAAGAGUGCAAUUGGAACUGGAGACCUUGAGUACGGUUAAGGUAGGCGGAAUUCGUGGUGUAGCGGUGAAAUGCUUAGAUAUCACGAAGAACUCCGAUUGCGAAGGCAGCUUGCUAAAGUGCCACUGACAUUGAUGCUCGAAAGUGUGGGUAUCAAACAGGAUUAGAUACCCCAGUAGUC